GACGAACGCUGGCGGCGUGCUUAACACAUGCAAGUCGAACGGAAAGGCCCGGCUUUUGUGGGGUGCGCGAGUGGCGAACGGGGGAGUAUCACGUGAGUGACCUGCCCUUUACUUUGGGAUAACUUCAUGAAACUGGGGUGAAUACCGGAUAUGAGCUCCUGCUGCAUGGUGGGGGUGGUAAAGUUUCGGCGGUUGGGGAUGUACUCGCGGCUUAUCAGCUUGUUGGUGGGGUAGUGGCUUACAGAGGCUUUGACGGGUAGCCGGCCUGGGAGGGUGACCGGCCACAUUGGGCCUGAGAUAGCAGCAAGACUCAUACGGGAGGCAGCAGUGGGGAAUAUAGCACAAUGGGCGGCAGCAUGAUGCAGCAACGCCGCGUGCGAGAUGACGGCCUUCGGGUUGUAACCCGCGUUCGCCUGUGACGAAGCGUGAGUGACGGUAAUGGGUAAAGAAGCAACGGCUAACUACGUG
RNAcentral lists this ribosomal RNA (468 nucleotides) under uncultured bacterium. RNAcentral describes it as "partial 16S ribosomal RNA". It matches the Rfam family "Bacterial small subunit ribosomal RNA", at positions 28 to 507 of the family's 1533-position model. The record is from RNAcentral.